This 245-nucleotide ribosomal RNA is filed under the name uncultured bacterium. Its description in RNAcentral is "partial 16S ribosomal RNA". It matches the Rfam family "Bacterial small subunit ribosomal RNA", at positions 524 to 769 of the family's 1533-position model. The record is from RNAcentral.
UACGUAGGUGGCGAGCGUUGUCCGGAAUUAUUGGGCGUAAAGGGCGCGUAGGCGGGAUAUUAAGUCUGUCUUAAAAGUGCAGGGCUCAACCCUGUGAUGGGACAGAAACUAAUAUUCUUGAGUGCAGGAGAGGAAAGUGGAAUUCCCAGUGUAGCGGUGAAAUGCGUAGAUAUUGGGAGGAACACCAGUGGCGAAGGCGACUUUCUGGACUGUGUCUGACGCUGAGGCGCGAAAGCCAGGGGAGC